GUAGUCAUAUGCUUGUCUCAAAGAUUAAGCCAUGCAUGUCUAAGUAUAAGCAACUAUACGGUGAAACUGCGAAUGGCUCAUUAAAUCAGUUAUCGUUUAUUUGAUAGUACCUUACUACAUGGAUAACCGUGGUAAUUCUAGAGCUAAUACAUGCUAAAAACCUCGACUUCGGAAGGGGUGUAUUUAUUAGAUAAAAAACCAAUGCCCUUCGGGGCUCCUUGGUGAAUCAUAAUAACUUAACGAAUCGCAUGGCCUUGCGCCGGCGAUGGUUCAUUCAAAUUUCUGCCCUAUCAACUUUCGAUGGUAGGAUAGUGGCCUACCAUGGUAUCAACGGGUAACGGGGAAU
This 346-nucleotide ribosomal RNA is filed under the name uncultured fungus. Its description in RNAcentral is "SSU rRNA". It matches the Rfam family "Eukaryotic small subunit ribosomal RNA", at positions 20 to 370 of the family's 1831-position model. RNAcentral also lists the same sequence under 1 other name. Lineage: Eukaryota; Fungi. The record is from RNAcentral.